This 253-nucleotide ribosomal RNA is filed under the name uncultured bacterium. RNAcentral describes it as "partial 16S ribosomal RNA". It matches the Rfam family "Bacterial small subunit ribosomal RNA", at positions 524 to 776 of the family's 1533-position model. The record is from RNAcentral.
UACGGAGGGUGCAAGCGUUAUCCGGAUUCACUGGGUUUAAAGGGUGCGUAGGCGGGUAUGUAAGUCAGCGGUGAAAUCCCCGAGCUUAACUUGGGAACUGCCGUUGAUACUAUAUAUCUUGAAUGUCGUGGAGGUUAGCGGAAUAUGUCAUGUAGCGGUGAAAUGCUUAGAUAUGACAUAGAACACCCAUUGCGAAGGCAGCUAACUACGCGAAUAUUGACACUGAGGCACGAAAGCGUGGGGAUCAAACAGG